UACGGGGGGAGCAAGCGUUGUUCGGAUUUACUGGGCGUAAAGGGCGCGUAGGCGGCCUCCGCAAGUCAGUUGUGAAAUCUCCGAGCUUAACUCGGAAAGGUCAACUGAUACUGCGGGGCUAGAGUGCGGAAGGGGCAACUGGAAUUCUUGGUGUAGCGGUGAAAUGCGUAGAUAUCAAGAGGAACACCUGCGGCGAAGGCGGGUUGCUGGGCCGACACUGACGCUGAGGCGCGAAAGCGUGGGGAGCAAACAG
RNAcentral lists this ribosomal RNA (253 nucleotides) under uncultured bacterium. RNAcentral describes it as "partial 16S ribosomal RNA". It matches the Rfam family "Bacterial small subunit ribosomal RNA", at positions 524 to 775 of the family's 1533-position model. The record is from RNAcentral.